Molecule: ribosomal RNA, 497 nt
Filed under: uncultured bacterium
Lineage: Bacteria
Description: partial 16S ribosomal RNA
Rfam family: Bacterial small subunit ribosomal RNA
Source: RNAcentral
GAUGAACGCUGGCGGCGUGCCUAAUACAUGCAAGUCGAGCGAACGGACGAGAAGCUUGCUUCUUUGACGUUAGCGGCGGACGGGUGAGUAACACGUGGAUAACCUACCUAUAAGACUGGGAUAACUUCGGGAAACCGGAGCUAAUACCGGAUAAUAUUUUGAACCGCAUGGUUCAAAAGUGAAAGACGGUUUUGCUGUCACUUAUAGAUGGAUCCGCGCUGUAUUAGCUAGUUGGUAAGGUAACGGCUUACCAAGGCAACGAUGCAUAGCCGACCUGAGAGGGGGACUCGGCAAAACGGGAACGAGAAAAGGGUCCGGACUCCAAGGGAGGGCGCGGGUGGGAAUACUUCAGAAAGGGGGGAAGGCCUAAGGAGGCAAGGCGGGGGGAUGAAGAAGGGUCUUGGGUUGGAAAAACCUUGUAGUUGGGAAGAAACAAAUGUGUAAGUAACCGUGCACAACUGAAGGGACCCGAAGCAGAAGGCCCCGCUAACCUAGUG